GAUCCUGGUUCAGGAUGAACGCUAGCUACAGGCUUAACACAUGCAAGUCGAGGGGCAGCAUGGUCUUAGCUUGCUAAGGCCGAUGGCGACCGGCGCACGGGUGAGUAACACGUAUCCAACCUGCCGUCUACUCUUGGACAGCCUUCUGAAAGGAAGAUUAAUACAAGAUGGCAUCAUGAGUUCACAUGUUCACAUGAUUAAAGGUAUUCCGGUAGACGAUGGGGAUGCCG
RNAcentral lists this ribosomal RNA (230 nucleotides) under uncultured bacterium. Its description in RNAcentral is "partial 16S ribosomal RNA". It matches the Rfam family "Bacterial small subunit ribosomal RNA", at positions 15 to 236 of the family's 1533-position model. The record is from RNAcentral.